UCGCUGCGUGUUACAAGUGUCACGCAGGACCGCCGGUAUUAAGCCGGAGGAAGGUGGGGAUGACGUCAAGUCAGCAUGGCCUUUAUGCCUGGGGCUACACACACGCUACAAUGGCCAGUACAAUGGGUUGCUAAACCGCGAGGUGGAGCCAAUCCCCCAAAACUGGCCUCAGUUCAGAUUGCAGGCUGCAACUCGCCUGCAUGAAGCCGGAGUUGCUAGUAAACGCGCGUCACUAUAGUGCGUUGAAUACGUUCUCGGGCCUU
This 263-nucleotide ribosomal RNA is filed under the name uncultured bacterium. Its description in RNAcentral is "partial 16S ribosomal RNA". It matches the Rfam family "Bacterial small subunit ribosomal RNA", at positions 1105 to 1382 of the family's 1533-position model. The record is from RNAcentral.